CUGCGAUAAGCGCCGGUAAGGUGAUAUGAACCGUUAUAACCGGCGAUACCCGAAUGGGGAAACCCAGUGUGAUUCGUCACACUAUCAUUAACUGAAUCCAUAGGUUAAUGAGGCGAACCGGGGGAACUGAAACAUCUAAGUACCCCGAGGAAAAGAAAUCAACCGAGAUUCCCCCAGUAGCGGCGAGCGAACGGGGAGGAGCCCAGAGCCUGAAUCAGCAUGUGUGUUAGUGGAAGCGUCUGGAAAGGCGCGCGAUACAGGGUGACAGCCCCGUACACAAAAGCGCAUGUGCUGUGAGCUCGAUGAGUAGGGCGGGACACGUGGUAUCCUGUCUGAAUAUGGGGGGACCAUCCUCCAAGGCUAAAUACUCCUGACUGACCGAUAGUGAACCAGUACCGUGAGGGAAAGGCGAAAAGAACCCCGGCGAGGGGAGUGAAAAAGAACCUGAAACCGUGUACGUACAAGCAGUGGGAGCACCCUUUGGGUGUGACUGCGUACCUUUUGUAUAAUGGGUCAGCGACUUAUAUUCUGUAGCAAGGUUAACCGAAUAGGGGAGCCGGAGGGAAACCGAGUCUUAAUUGGGCGUUAAGUUGCAGGGUAUAGACCCGAAACCCGGUGAUCUAGCCAUGGGCAGGUUGAAGGUUGGGUAACACUAACUGGAGGACCGAACCGACUAAUGUUGAAAAAUUAGCGGAUGACCUGUGGCUGGGGGUGAAAGGCCAAUCAAACCGGGAGAUAGCUGGUUCUCCCCGAAAGCUAUUUAGGUAGCGCCUCGUGAAUUCAUCUCCGGGGGUAGAGCACUGUUUCGGCUAGGGGGCCAUCCCGGCUUACCAACCCGAUGCAAACUGCGAAUACCGGAGAAUGUUAUCACGGGAGACACACGGCGGGUGCUAACGUCCGUCGUGAAGAGGGAAACAACCCAGACCGCCAGCUAAGGUCCCAAAGUCAUGGUUAAGUGGGAAACGAUGUGGGAAGGCCCAGACAGCCAGGAUGUUGGCUUAGAAGCAGCCAUCAUUUAAAGAAAGCGUAAUAGCUCACUGGUCGAGUCGGCCUGCGCGGAAGAUGUAACGGGGCUAAACCAUGCACCGAAGCUGCGGCAGCGACACUGUGUGUUGUUGGGUA
RNAcentral lists this ribosomal RNA (1122 nucleotides) under Salmonella enterica subsp. enterica serovar Enteritidis. RNAcentral's name for it is "partial 23S ribosomal RNA". It matches the Rfam family "Bacterial large subunit ribosomal RNA", at positions 66 to 1230 of the family's 2925-position model. Lineage: Bacteria; Pseudomonadati; Pseudomonadota; Gammaproteobacteria; Enterobacterales; Enterobacteriaceae. The record is from RNAcentral.